Molecule: ribosomal RNA, 1342 nt
Filed under: uncultured bacterium
Lineage: Bacteria
Description: bacterial SSU rRNA
Rfam family: Bacterial small subunit ribosomal RNA
Source: RNAcentral
GAUGAACGCUGGCGGCGUGCCUAAUACAUGCAAGUAGAACGCUGAGGACUGGUGCUUGCACCGGUCCAAGGAGUUGCGAACGGGUGAGUAACGCGUAGGUAACCUACCUCAUAUCGGGGGAUAACUAUUGGAAACGAUAGCUAAUACCGCAUAAAAGUGUUUAACCCAUGUUAAACAUUUAAAAGGUGCAACUGCAUCACUAUGAGAUGGACCUGCGUUGUAUUAGCUAGUUGGUGAGGUAACGGCUCACCAAGGCGACGAUACAUAGCCGACCUGAGAGGGUGAUCGGCCACACUGGGACUGAGACACGGCCCAAACUCCUACGGGAGGCAGCAGUGGGGAAUCUUGCACAAUGGGGGCAACCCUGAUGCAGCGACGCCGCGUGAGCGAUGAAGGUUUUCGAAUCGUAAAGCUCUGUCCUAUGGGAAGAUAAUGACGGUACCAUGGGAGGAAGCCCCGGCUAACUACGUGCCAGCAGCCGCGGUAAUACGUAGGGGGCGAGCGUUGUCCGGAAUUACUGGGCGUAAAGGGUUCGCAGGCGGCAUGGCAAGUCCGAUGUAAAAGGCGAAGGCUCAACCUUCGUAAGCAUCGGAAACUGUCAAGCUUGAGUGAAGGAGAGGCAAGUGGAAUUCCUAGUGUAGCGGUGGAAUGCGUAGAUAUUAGGAGGAAUACCGGUGGCGAAGGCGACUUGCUGGACUUCAACUGACGCUGAGGAACGAAAGCGUGGGUAGCAAACAGGAUUAGAUACCCUGGUAGUCCACGCCGUAAACGAUGAGUGCUAGGUGUCGGGGGUCAUACCUCGGUGCCGCCGUUAACACAAUAAGCACUCCGCCUGGGGAGUACGUGCGCAAGCAUGAAACUCAAAGGAAUUGACGGGGACCCGCACAAGCAGCGGAGCAUGUGGUUUAAUUCGAAGCAACGCGAAGAACCUUACCAGGACUUGAAAUACUAGCGCCCGCUUUAGAGAUAAAGUUUUUUCUUCGGAAACGCUAAUACAGGUGGUGCAUGGUUGUCGUCAGCUCGUGUCGUGAGAUGUUGGGUUAAGUCCCGCAACGAGCGCAACCCUUACUUUUAGUUGCCAGCACGUAAUGGUGGGAACUCUAAAGGGACUGCCGAUGAUAAAUCGGAGGAAGGUGGGGAUGACGUCAAAUCAUCAUGCCCUUUAUGUCCUGGGCUACACACGUGCUACAAUGGUCGGUACAGAGGGCAGCGAACGAGCGAUCGCAAGCGAAUCUCAAAAAGCCGAUCCCAGUUCGGAUUGCAGGCUGCAACUCGCCUGCAUGAAGUCGGGGUUGCUAGUAAUCGCGAAUCAGAAUGUCGCGGUGAAUGCGUUCCCGGGUCU